Long non-coding RNA from Camellia sinensis, 1283 nucleotides. RefSeq lists it as uncharacterized. Lineage: Eukaryota; Viridiplantae; Streptophyta; Magnoliopsida; Ericales; Theaceae. The record is from RefSeq and is a predicted model, not a curated record.
CUCACUCAUCCACUCGCUAUAGUCCAACUCUCUGUUGCGGCCUUUUCAAGCAUUGAGUGCCUUUUCGAGCAUUUUGUAUAUAUACAUCAAUCCUCAGACACCACGAUCACAUUCAUACAUUUUCCUUACCAUUGAGCGAGCUGAGUGCUUUUUAGGUGGCAGUAUUGGUCAGUGUAACGAUGGCAGCAAUACUGAUUGGAUAGUGACAAAUUAAAGAUGAAAGUUUUUAGGCACACACUAGCCUAGAACCAAUGGCACGCUAUGUGCGUCUGGAAUACUCACUCUUAAGCGUUGAAUUAACAAAUUAAAGAGGAAACGUUUCGAGCGCAUAUUGGCGUGGCACCAAUGAUAACAUAACCAUGUGACAGUGGUGCCACGCUGUAUGCGUUUGAAAUACUCACUCUUAAAUGAAUGUACAAAUUACAAAUCACAAUGAAAGAAAGAGAAAGUAAGUGCGUCUUUUAAGGUAUGUUCUACUGUUAUUCACUAAUAUUUUUUUUUAAUAUUACUUGAUGGUUGCUUUUGAUUUUUUUUUCCAGGUAAGUAGUUGAAUGAAGUCUAGUGCAACACUCUUUGGACUUUGAUAUUAAUGCUCCCAUUACACAAUUAUUGCCAAUUUCUAUAUUAAUUUACAUUUUUUUUUCAGGUGGAAAAAGGUCAUUUACUAUAAAAUUUUAUUUUGCAAUGGCUAAGAGGGAAAUAAGAGAAAAGAAGUUACAAUAAAUGUUCUAGUAUGUUUAAAAAGUCUAAAAUUUAUGAGGCCUCCAAUCCCACUUAACCUCUGAUUAGGCAAAACCCAAACUAAUUAAGUGUGCCAUUCUUAGUGUAAAGUAAGCUUAAGCUGAAUAUUGUGCAAAAGAAGAACCAGGUAAAGACGGGUUCAGAGAUGAAAGAGGGAUGUGGAUGCUUCUCAUAGCCUCAUGAAUCAUCUUCGCGAAAGGUUGGCAGACUUGGAGAUUAAAGCAGAGUGCUGGAAAGUAGUAAAUCUAAUCCAAAAGGCUUAAUUAGCACUAUCCAUUUCAAGCUUUAAUUGAGGAUGCUAGAUUUUUGCUUGGAGGAAUGGGAUGUUUCAUCAAACACAUCCAUUACAAAGAGAACAAUCUCGUAGAUGUUGUUGCAAACACAAGAGUGGAACAAGAUGAAAACUAUUUUGGUAUUUGAAUGCCUAACAGAGGCAAAUAGGUGUAUGUUUAUUGCUGAUAUAAUUGGAACCGUGCAUAAGAGGGCCUUCUAACCCUAUCUGUUGUUUGUUUAUCUUCUUUUGUCUUCUUGUUUCUUUUUCA